RNAcentral lists this ribosomal RNA (253 nucleotides) under uncultured bacterium. RNAcentral describes it as "partial 16S ribosomal RNA". It matches the Rfam family "Bacterial small subunit ribosomal RNA", at positions 524 to 776 of the family's 1533-position model. The record is from RNAcentral.
UACGAAGGGGGCUAGCGUUGUUCGGAAUGACUGGGCGUAAAGGGCGCGUAGGCGGUUUGAUAAGUUUGGUGUGAAAGUCCUGGGCUUAACCUGGGGAUUGCACUGGAUACUGUUGGACUAGAGGUCGAGAGAGGAGAAUGGAAUUGCGAGUGUAGAGGUGAAAUUCGUAGAUAUUCGCAAGAACACCGGUGGCGAAGGCGGUUUUCUGGCUCGAAUCUGACGCUAAGGCGCGAAAGCGUGGGGAGCAAACAGG